This 321-nucleotide long non-coding RNA is filed under the name Homo sapiens (human). Its description in RNAcentral is "non-protein coding lnc-LRRC72-6:1". Lineage: Eukaryota; Metazoa; Chordata; Mammalia; Primates; Hominidae. The record is from RNAcentral.
GUGGUGAACAUUCCUAAAAUCCACCAAAUUUUCUGUGAGAAGUGUGGCAAGCACCAACCCCAUGAAGUGACACAGGGCAAGAAGGGCAAGGAUUUUCUGUAUGCCCAGGGGAAGUGGUGUUAUGACAGAUAGCAGGGUGGCUCUGGUGGGCAGACUAAGCCAAUUAUCCAGAAAAAGCUAAAACUACAAAGAAGAUUGUGCUAAGGCUUAGUGCAUUAAGCCCAGACCAACCGCAGAUCUAAGAGAAUGCUAGCUAUCAAAAGAUGCAAGCAUUUUGAACUGGAAGGUGGUAAGAAGAGACACGGCCAAGUAAUACGGUUC